GACGAACGCUGGCGGCGUGCUUAACACAUGCAAGUCGAACGGAAAGGCCCUGCUUGCAGGGUACUCGAGUGGCGAACGGGUGAUUAACACGUGGGUGAUCUGCCCUGCACUUCGGGAUAAUCCUGGGAAACUGGGUCUAAUACCGUAUAGGCUCCAUUUUUAGUGUGAUGGUUGGAAAGUUUUUUCGGGGUAGGAUGAGCUCGCGGCCUAUCAGCUUGUUGGUGGGGUAAUGGCCUACCAAGGCGGGGACGGGUAGCCGGCCUGAGAGGGUGGCCGGCCACAUAGGGACUGAGAGACGGCAGAGAUUGGGACGGGAGGCAGAAGUGGGGAAGAGUGCACAAGGGGCGCAAGGCUGAUGCAGAGAGGCCGCGGGGGGGAUGACGGUCUUCGUGGUGUAAACGCCUAUCGAGAGGAACGAAGCUUUUUGUGACGGUACCUAGAUAAGAAGCACCGGCUAACUACGUG
RNAcentral lists this ribosomal RNA (465 nucleotides) under uncultured bacterium. Its description in RNAcentral is "partial 16S ribosomal RNA". It matches the Rfam family "Bacterial small subunit ribosomal RNA", at positions 28 to 507 of the family's 1533-position model. The record is from RNAcentral.